RNAcentral lists this ribosomal RNA (253 nucleotides) under uncultured bacterium. Its description in RNAcentral is "partial 16S ribosomal RNA". It matches the Rfam family "Bacterial small subunit ribosomal RNA", at positions 524 to 776 of the family's 1533-position model. The record is from RNAcentral.
UACGGAGGAUCCAAGCGUUAUCCGGAUUUAUUGGGUUUAAAGGGAGCGUAGGCGGCUUAUUAAGUCAGGGGUGAAAGACGGUGGCUCAACCAUCGAAGUGCCUUUGAUACUGAUGAGCUUGAAUAUAGUUGAGGUAGGCGGAAUGUGACAAGUAGCGGUGAAAUGCAUAGAUAUGUCACGGAACACCGAUUGCGAAGGCAGCUUACUAAGCUAUUACUGACGCUGAGGCGCGAAAGCGAGGGGAGCAAACGGG